AUUGAACGCUGGCGGCAGGCCUAACACAUGCAAGUCGAGCGGAUGCAGGGAGCUUGCUCCUGGAUUCAGCGGCGGACGGGUGAGUAAUGCCUAGGAAUCUGCCUGGUAGUGGGGGAUAACGUCCGGAAACGGGCGCUAAUACCGCAUACGUCCUGAGGGAGAAAGUGGGGGAUCUUCGGACCUCACGCUAUCAGAUGAGCCUAGGUCGGAUUAGCUAGUUGGUGGGGUAAAGGCCUACCAAGGCGACGAUCCGUAACUGGUCUGAGAGGAUGAUCAGUCACACUGGAACUGAGACACGGUCCAGACUCCUACGGGAGGCAGGAGUGGGGAAUAUUGGACAAUGGGCGAAAGCCUGAUCCAGCCAUGCCGCGUGGGUGAAGAAGGGCUUCGGAUUGUAAAGCACUUUAAGUUGGGAGGAAGGGCAGUAAGUUAAUACCUUGCUGUUUUGACGUUACCAACAGAAUAAGCACCGGCUAACUUCGU
This 483-nucleotide ribosomal RNA is filed under the name uncultured bacterium. RNAcentral's name for it is "partial 16S ribosomal RNA". It matches the Rfam family "Bacterial small subunit ribosomal RNA", at positions 30 to 506 of the family's 1533-position model. The record is from RNAcentral.